This 305-nucleotide ribosomal RNA is filed under the name uncultured bacterium. Its description in RNAcentral is "bacterial SSU rRNA". It matches the Rfam family "Bacterial small subunit ribosomal RNA", at positions 335 to 637 of the family's 1533-position model. The record is from RNAcentral.
UGUCCUACGGGGGGCAGCAGUGAGGAAUAUUGGUCAAUGGCCGAGAGGCUGAACCAGCCAAGUCGCGUGAGGGAAGAAUGUCCUAUGGAUUGUAAACCUCUUUUGUCAGGGAGCAAAGUCACCCACGUGUGGGUGUUGGAGAGUACCUGAAGAAAAAGCAUCGGCUAACUCCGUGCCAGCAGCCGCGGUAAUACGGAGGAUCCGAGCGUUAUCCGGAUUUAUUGGGUUUAAAGGGAGCGUAGGUGGAUUGUUAAGUCAGUUGUGAAAGUUUGCGGCUCAACCGUAAAAUUGCAGUUGAAACUGGC